GGGGAGCUGGCGCAACGGUAGCGCGUCAGAUUCCAGUGGCUUUAGUUCUCUUAGAACUAUUCGGGAACUCCUGAAGGUUAUCGGUUCAAAUCCGGUGUUCCUCA
Non-coding RNA from Fusarium torreyae, 104 nucleotides. NCBI's taxonomy places the organism in Eukaryota, Fungi, Ascomycota, Sordariomycetes, Hypocreales, Nectriaceae. The record is from the annotation of a GenBank genome assembly.